Molecule: ribosomal RNA, 425 nt
Filed under: uncultured prokaryote
Description: bacterial SSU rRNA
Rfam family: Bacterial small subunit ribosomal RNA
Source: RNAcentral
UGGGGAAUCAUGGUCAAUGGGCGAAAGCCUGAACCUGCGACGCCGCGUGAGUGAUGAAGGUCGUAAGAUCGUAAAACUCUUUUCAGGGAUCUUAAAGCCUGUCUGUCAACAACAGGCAGGUCUGACUCUCCCUGGAAGAAGCCCCAGCCAACUACGUGCCAGCAGCUGCGGUAAUACGUUGGGGGCGAGCGUUAUUCGGAAUUACUGGGUGUAAAGGGUAUGUAGGCGGCCCUUCAAGUCGCGUGUCAAAGUCCAGUGCUUAACGCUGGGUGUGCACGCGAUACUGACGGGCUUGAGGGCUGGAGAGGUGAGCGGAAUUCCCGGGGUAGUGGUAAAAUACGUAGAGAUCGGGAGGAACACCAGCGGCGCAGGCGGCUCACUAGACAGUUUCUGACGCUAAGAUACGAAAGCGUGGGGAGCAAACA